AGCUAUUUAAAUUCGUGCAGAGAUUUCGUCAGACACCAACUCAUUAGGACUGAUCAGACUUCCAAGAUAAAUGAAGUU
Molecule: microRNA precursor, 78 nt
Filed under: Schistosoma bovis
Lineage: Eukaryota; Metazoa; Platyhelminthes; Trematoda; Strigeidida; Schistosomatidae
Also listed under: 1 other name
Description: mir-3492 microRNA precursor family
Rfam family: mir-3492 microRNA precursor family
Source: Rfam by way of RNAcentral